RNAcentral lists this ribosomal RNA (456 nucleotides) under Chelymorpha alternans. Its description in RNAcentral is "eukaryotic LSU rRNA". Lineage: Eukaryota; Metazoa; Arthropoda; Insecta; Coleoptera; Chrysomelidae. The record is from RNAcentral.
GGGUAAACUGAGAAACCGAARGUCGAAUGGGGAAAUUCAUUCGCGUUUCGAUUGUCGGCGUUGAGCUGUUGUGUGACUGACGGGGUACGCUUCGUAAGCGCCUUCAGUUCUUCGAACCGACUUCGAACGCGUGCACUUUUCCCCUAGUAGGACGUCGCGAUCCGUUGGGCGUCGGUCUAAGGCCUGCGGUGGAGCUCGCGUGGACGUUUCGGCGUUCCGCACGAACCCGCAGUGUCCCGAUCGACUCGCUCGACGGUAUAAAGAUGGCGCGGGGCCGCUACACAGUUAGCGUUCGGCCUACGGCAAGCACGUACGGUGUUCGAUGGCGAUCAGACCUAGUCGGAUCCCGUCCCCGGACGACUGUUGGCACGUAGUGUUCUCGAACAGACCUCGUUGAAACGCCGAUCUGCGACGCUAUUGCUUUGGGUACUUUCAGGACCCGUCUUGAAACACGAC